Molecule: small nucleolar RNA, 132 nt
Organism: Acomys russatus (golden spiny mouse)
Lineage: Eukaryota; Metazoa; Chordata; Mammalia; Rodentia; Muridae
Product: small nucleolar RNA SNORA17
Exons: 1
Source: RefSeq, a predicted model, not a curated record
GUUGCCCCUAGAAGCAUUGCAGGUAUGGCUGCUGUGUCACAUAUGUGUCGGUAGGGGACAGAGAGAACAGAGGCUAUUUCUAAGCUCAGUGUUCUGACCUAUGGACAUCUGAAUAAUUAACAGCCUAACAUU